GAAGACAGACCAAGAAACAUCAGAAACCCAAACUGACAAACCAAACAAAGCCUUUUCUUCUGCCUUUUUCAAUUUUUUUUUGUUUGUUUUUUUUUUU
This 97-nucleotide non-coding RNA is filed under the name Ctenophora environmental sample. The record is from RNAcentral. Lineage: Eukaryota; Metazoa; Ctenophora.